Molecule: non-coding RNA, 111 nt
Filed under: Clostridium porci
Lineage: Bacteria; Bacillati; Bacillota; Clostridia; Eubacteriales; Clostridiaceae
Also listed under: 1 other name
Description: FMN riboswitch (RFN element)
Rfam family: FMN riboswitch aptamer (RFN element)
About the family: The RFN element is a highly conserved domain that is found frequently in the 5'-untranslated regions of prokaryotic mRNAs that encode for flavin mononucleotide (FMN) biosynthesis and transport proteins.
Source: RNAcentral
UGUCUUCAGGGCAGGGUGAAAUUCCCGACUGGCGGUUAAAGUCCGCGAGCGCAGCAGCGCCGAUCCGGUGUGAUUCCGGAACCAACAGUAUAGUCUGGAUGAAAGAAGAUG